RNAcentral lists this ribosomal RNA (474 nucleotides) under uncultured bacterium. Its description in RNAcentral is "partial 16S ribosomal RNA". It matches the Rfam family "Bacterial small subunit ribosomal RNA", at positions 28 to 507 of the family's 1533-position model. The record is from RNAcentral.
GACGAACGCUGGCGGCGUGCUUAACACAUGCAAGUCGAGCGGUAAGGCUCCUUCGGGAGUACACGAGCGGCGAACGGGUGAGUAACACGUGAGUAAUCUGCCCUUCACUUCGGGAUAACCACCGGAAACGGUGGCUAAUACCGAAUACGACCAGUCUUCGCAUGAGGUGCUGGUGGAAAGUCUUUUCGGUGAAGGAUGUGCUCGCGGCCUAUCAGCUUGUUGGUGGGGUAAUGGCCUACCAAGGCUUCGACGGGUAGCCGGCCUGAGAGGGUGACCGGCCACACUGGGAUUGAGACACGGCCCAGACUCCUACGGGAGGCAGCAGUGGGGAAUAUUGGACAAUGGGCGAAAGCCUGAUCCAGCAACGCCGCGUGAGGGAUGACGGCCUUCGGGUUGUAAACCUCUUUCAGUACCGACGAAGCGCCCUGUCGGGUGGUGACGGUAGGUACAGAAGAAGGACCGGCCAACUACGUG